AAGACAUGUCAAUCUGCUCAUGUAAAUCUUCCACUCAGUAACCUUUUGUGUGCAGCAUUUAUUGAGGCUGAUGGCAAAAAUUGAAACCAACAUCAUGGUAUUCUGAAGACCAGAGAUAUGAAUCUCCCUCAUUUGACAUCCUACUGGGCCUGAAUCUGUUUCACUGCUAAAGCUCUGCUGCCAAACCUAUACAAGCUGCCUCCCUCUAGGCCCAGGGGCUAUCAUGGAAGAGAUUGCCGGAGGCCAGAAAGUAAGACAAAUAACAGCUCACCUGCCUGGCUUGUUGGAGCAACAAGAAAC
RNAcentral lists this long non-coding RNA (300 nucleotides) under Homo sapiens (human). RNAcentral's name for it is "HSALNT0392445". The record is from RNAcentral. Lineage: Eukaryota; Metazoa; Chordata; Mammalia; Primates; Hominidae.